RNAcentral lists this ribosomal RNA (502 nucleotides) under uncultured bacterium. Its description in RNAcentral is "partial 16S ribosomal RNA". It matches the Rfam family "Bacterial small subunit ribosomal RNA", at positions 30 to 523 of the family's 1533-position model. The record is from RNAcentral.
AUUGAACGCUGGCGGCACGCUUAACACAUGCAAGUCGAGCGGUAACAUGGCUAGUAGCAAUACUAACUGAUGACGAGCGGCGGACGGGUGAGUAACACGUAGGAACUUGCCCAGUAGUGGGGGACAACCAAGGGAAACUUUGGCUAAUACCGCAUAUUCCCGAUAGAGGAAAGCUGCCGCAAGGUGGCGCUAUUGGAGCGUGCUGCGUCGGAUUAGGUAGUUGGUGGGGUAAAGGCUAACCAAGCCGACGAUCUGUAGCUGGUCUGAGAGGACGACCAGCCACACGGGGACUGAGACACGGCCCAGACUCCUACGGGAGGCAGCAGUGGGGAAUUUUGGACAAUGGGCGAAAGCCUGAUCCAGCCAUGCCGCGUGCAGGAUGAAGGCCUUCGGGUUGUAAACUGCUUUUGUACGGAACGAAAAGGUUUGGCCUAAUAAGCUGAGCUCAUGACGGUACCGUAAGAAUAAGCACCGGCUAACUACGUGCCAGCCGCCGCAGUAA